GGGGAUGAUCGGCUUCGAUAGACGGAGCUGUCUAUAUAUGCAUGCCGAGGUUUCAACCCUCGUAAAAAAGAGCACAAUUAAGUGCAAAUGAUGUAGUUAAGAAGGCAGAGGAAGAGAUGAAUAAAGUAGUCAACUCCUUUGCCCCUCAAACUGCUGUCGCGUAAGCGCAGGAGUUCAUCGCAUCCGUGACGCUCGAUAGCGGACCUGCGGUGCCAUAAUAAUCGAGCUUAGAUCUAUGCGUAGUGUUAGCGUACAGAUCGAAAUCCCCAAAUUAGCACUUACUGCAAUAGUUUUUAGUUGCUUUCAGAUUAUUGUAGGAAACCAAAAAGUAACUAAGCAUGUAGAUUAUAUGGAUAUCUCCGUCUACACCCGGGUUCAAUUCCCGGCAUCUCCACUG
RNAcentral lists this transfer-messenger RNA (397 nucleotides) under Parcubacteria group bacterium QH_9_35_7. It matches the Rfam family "transfer-messenger RNA". From Rfam's summary of the family: Bacterial tmRNA, also known as 10Sa RNA or SsrA, is named for its dual tRNA and mRNA-like properties. The record is from RNAcentral.